GUUUCCAUAGUGUAGUGGUUAGCACAUCUGCUUUACACGCAGAAGGUCCUGGGUUCAAGCCCCAGGUGGAGUCA
RNAcentral lists this transfer RNA (74 nucleotides) under Pteropus alecto (black flying fox). It matches the Rfam family "tRNA". From Rfam's summary of the family: Transfer RNA (tRNA) molecules are approximately 80 nucleotides in length. Their secondary structure includes four short double-helical elements and three loops (D, anti-codon, and T loops). Lineage: Eukaryota; Metazoa; Chordata; Mammalia; Chiroptera; Pteropodidae. The record is from Rfam by way of RNAcentral.